This is a long non-coding RNA of Dermacentor albipictus, 382 nucleotides long. RefSeq lists it as uncharacterized. The record is from RefSeq and is a predicted model, not a curated record. Lineage: Eukaryota; Metazoa; Arthropoda; Arachnida; Ixodida; Ixodidae.
AGUGCGAUAGUGAGCUGCUUCUUGUGCACGGGGUAGUGAGAAAUACCAGCGUUGCUCGACGACGUAUUCGACACAGGGAGGCGGAAGUUUUGAACAGCCGCAGCGAACGAGUGCCUAAUCCCGCAGAAAGCAAUGUACUCGGCGUGCAACGGUCGCGUAUAUAUAUAUUUUUUUCGGAGACAAAUCUACUUUGUUGCACCAAUCGGCAGAGUGCCAUGCUCACAGCCAAGAAACGGGGAUGAAUGUCCACUGUGCACAUCAGAAAUGUGGUUCAAAAUGGAGAGCCACUUUGCUACAAUCAGAUUCCUAUCUUCAUUGCUUGUUGAAGCGCAGCAGUACAGGUGACUGAUGAUUAAUUUUAUUAAAAAAGCAAUAACACUGC